RNAcentral lists this long non-coding RNA (1149 nucleotides) under Citrus x clementina. RNAcentral's name for it is "Citrus clementina (C. clementina) long non-coding RNA (CCLE_LNC006498)". Lineage: Eukaryota; Viridiplantae; Streptophyta; Magnoliopsida; Sapindales; Rutaceae. The record is from RNAcentral.
AAUGAUUUUAUAAAUAUGUAUUAAUAUUAUUAUAAACUAUUAUAUAUGACUCUACGUAAUUAUAAGUUAACAAUUAAGUUAACCCUUAAAAAAAAUUAUUAUUAUUGUUAUUGUUAAGUGCUAAAAAAGAAUUCUAAUACCAUAGAGUCAAACUUAGCAACGAAUAUUACAUUCUCUUAUUAUUAUUAAUUUAUUAUUAUUGACUAUGGACUUGAGUUUUGAAUUUUUUAUUCUAUUAAAUUUAAAUAAAGACAUAUGGAUCCAAAAAAAAUACACAAGCUUGAAAAAAAUAAGACAACAACUUGGCAUACGCUCUUAAAAAGAGAAAAAAGCUUAGUGGGCUAUUUUUCCUAGGCACGACACGACAAGGCCUAUGGCACGGCACGUGUGGGCACGGCACGAGUGGGCACAAGCACGAGCACGCGUGGGCACGGCACAUGUGCCGGGUUGACACGGCAUGGCACGACACGAAAUGAAUAGUGUGCACGGCACGAGCACGAGCACGCGUGGGCUUCCUUUGAUGGGUCUGGGCCGGCACGGCACGGUCCGUUGGCCAUCUCUAGAUAGAGAGCAGGUAAUAAGUAUGAAUUCAAUAUGCAGGGUACAACCAGUUCAAUUUAUUUCUUUCUCACUUAUCAGUUUUUUUUAUCAAAUGAAAGGACAUACAUUUGGUAGAACUUAUCUUCAAUUACUAGCUUGUUAAGAGAGAGAAUACAAGUACUUAUGAGCUCGCAUGUUAGGCCUAAAUUUAGCAAUCCGGGAAGUAAUUAGAGUCAUUAUAAUCUACCCUCCUUUUAAAUCUAAGGUACGCGGUGGUUCAUAUCCUGGCUCCUAACUUGGUGACACGCCAAGGGCCUCGUUCAUAUUCCAACUAGGUGACACACCAAGAUUACGAGACUAGGAUCAACUGCAGUGAGAGUCAUCUCCAAGGAUAGGGCUUGCUCUAGGGAUGGCAAAAUUUUCCACGGGUUUGGGGCCCCAUGGAGCCCCACCCCAAAUGGGGAAAAUUUUAAAUAAUUUUUGGAGAAUGGGGUGGGGAGUGAAGGAAAAUAAUCCCCAAAUUCUUAAUAGGGUGGGGUUUGGUUUUGUACUCCCCACCCCACCCCCACCCCAAUCCUCAUUAUAUAUAAAUAUGUUUUUAAUUAUUAU